RNAcentral lists this ribosomal RNA (251 nucleotides) under uncultured bacterium. RNAcentral describes it as "partial 16S ribosomal RNA". It matches the Rfam family "Bacterial small subunit ribosomal RNA", at positions 526 to 776 of the family's 1533-position model. The record is from RNAcentral.
CGUAGGAGGCGAGCGUUAUCCGGAUUUACUGGGUGUAAAGCGCACGUAGGCGGAUUUUUAAGUCAGGGGUGAAAUCCCGGGGCUCAACCCCGGAACCGCCUUUGAUACUGGAGAUCUGGAGUCCGAGAGAGGUGAGUGGAAUUCCGAGUGUAGAGGUGAAAUUCGUAGAUAUUCGGAGGAACACCAGUGGCGAAGGCGGCUCACUGGCUCGGUACUGACGCUGAGGUGCGAAAGCGUGGGGAGCAAACAGG